Long non-coding RNA from Bombyx mori (domestic silkworm), 955 nucleotides. RefSeq lists it as uncharacterized. Lineage: Eukaryota; Metazoa; Arthropoda; Insecta; Lepidoptera; Bombycidae. The record is from RefSeq and is a predicted model, not a curated record. The transcript is spliced from 3 exons.
UUUGAUGUAGGAAGCGGGCGGCGCGUGAGCCGAUACAAGACUCACGAGGAGCUGCUGGUCUGCGGGGGCCAGACGAAUCGUUUCUACACGCUGCACCGCGUCACGGUGGAAACCUUUACAGAACGAAGAGAUAAAUACACAGACGAGCAUACGGCCCAUCUGAUGGUGAGACCGUCGCUGAUGGACGUCAGCAAUGCCAGGGGAACAGCCAAGCCGCUGCCUACCACUAAAGUAUAUGGUAUGUAGUAUAAUUGAAUUAUUUCUAAGCCGUUUUUAGUUUUGUUUGGAAAACAAUAAUAUACAGUGCAAUCACAGUGCGUUGUUCUAUUGAAUAGAAUUAGCUGUUGCGCAAGACCGGUCAUUGUGACAAUACUUGGAGGAGAUCUGUGCCCAGAAGUGGACGUAUUAACAAAGAGUAUUCAUGUAUCAAAUCUUUCUAAUGGAUUAAGUACUCAAGAAAUGUUCACGAUUGACUUCCAUGGUGAAGGAAUAACAUCGUGUAAUAAAAAUUAAGCCCGCAAAAUAAUAAUUUGCGUAAUUACUGGUGGUAGGACCUCUUGUGAGUCCACACGGGUAGGAACCGCCACGCAACCUAUUUCUGCCGUGAAGCAGUACUUAAUGCGUUUCGGUUUAAAGGGCUGGGCAGCCGUUGUAACUACCUGAGACCAAUAAUGUUGAAUAUUAUGCGAACAAAGUCACAAGCAACAAGUAGGAGUGCCUCUUCAAUCCUGAAGGUUGGCCGUUAGCUUCCUGUACCUAUUCAUUUCUGUCAGCAGCCAGCCGGAACAGCUGUUCGACGGAGGCAAUACCGGUCCACUCCCGGAUAUUCCGGAGCCAUGACUUUUUUCUUCACCCAGAAACUAACUAAUAGUCUCAAUUCUUAUUGUUGUAUUAAAAUAAACCUUCCAUUUAAAUAUCUAUGUUCGCCGUAACGCAAUAAAACUUUAUAAUAAAA